RNAcentral lists this ribosomal RNA (300 nucleotides) under Alectorobius rietcorreai. Its description in RNAcentral is "Ornithodoros rietcorreai partial small subunit ribosomal RNA". Lineage: Eukaryota; Metazoa; Arthropoda; Arachnida; Ixodida; Argasidae. The record is from RNAcentral.
UAGAUUGGUAGUAACUUAAGGGUUGUUAAAUUUAAAGAAUGUGGCGGUAUUUUAAGCUUUUUAGAGGAAUUUAUUCUUUAAUUGAUAUGACUCAUAAAUCUUUCUUGAUUUUGUUAAGCAGCUUGUAUAUCGCUAUCAUAUUAUAAUGUUGUUAGGAAAUUGUAAAGAUAAAAUUUUAUUUAAAAUGUUAGGUCAAAAUGCAGCAUAAGGUUAAGUUUGAAAUAAAUUACGGUAAUUUUUAUUGGGUUUUAUGAAAAUGAAGAUAGGAUUUAAUAGUAAAUUUUGAUUAUAAUGCUAAAU